This 253-nucleotide ribosomal RNA is filed under the name uncultured bacterium. RNAcentral's name for it is "partial 16S ribosomal RNA". It matches the Rfam family "Bacterial small subunit ribosomal RNA", at positions 524 to 776 of the family's 1533-position model. The record is from RNAcentral.
UACGGAGGGUGCGAGCGUUGUCCGGAAUCACUGGGCGUAAAGGGCGCGUAGGCGGCCCGGUAAGUAGGGGGUGAAAUCCUGCGGCUUAACCGCAGGGCUGCCUUCUAAACUGUCGGGCUCGAGCACGGUAGAGGCAGAUGGAAUUCCCGGUGUAGCGGUGGAAUGCGUAGAGAUCGGGAAGAACAUCAGUGGCGAAGGCGGUCUGCUGGGCCGUUGCUGACGCUGAGGCGCGACAGCGUGGGGAGCAAACAGG